GACGAACGCUGGCGGCGUGCCUAAUACAUGCAAGUCGAGCGAACAGACGAGGUGCUUGCUCUUCUGGCGUUAGGGGCGGGCGGGUGAGUAACAAGUGGAUAACCCUUCUAUAAGACUGGGAUUAAGUCGGGAAAGCGGAGUAAAUACUGGGUGAUACAUUGAACUGGAGGGUGCAAUAGAGAUACACGGGUUUGGGGUCAAUUAUAGGUGUAUCCGCGCGGUAUUAGGGAGUUGGUAGGGUAACGGCUUACCGAGGCAACGAUUGGUGACCGAGCCGGGAGGGUGAUCGCCCACACUGGAGCUGAGACACGGUCCUGAGUCCUACGGGAGGCAGCAGUAGGGAAUCUUCGGAAAUGGGCGAAAGCCUGACGGAGCAGCGCCGCGUGAGUGCAGAAGGUCUUCGGAUCGUAAAACUCUGUUAGUAGUGAAAAACAAAUGUGUAAGUAACUAUGCACGGCUUGACGGUACCUGAUCAGAAAGCACCGGCUAACUACGUG
RNAcentral lists this ribosomal RNA (497 nucleotides) under uncultured bacterium. Its description in RNAcentral is "partial 16S ribosomal RNA". It matches the Rfam family "Bacterial small subunit ribosomal RNA", at positions 28 to 507 of the family's 1533-position model. The record is from RNAcentral.